Molecule: long non-coding RNA, 1711 nt
Organism: Acinonyx jubatus (cheetah)
Lineage: Eukaryota; Metazoa; Chordata; Mammalia; Carnivora; Felidae
Exons: 2
Source: RefSeq, a predicted model, not a curated record
GCCCCGGUGUGCACAGCCAGGCGGGAUUUCCUUGGCUGGUUGGUGCCCACGGCCGCGGGGAGAGUGUGGGCUCUGGAAGGUAGCAAACAUUAGCGCCCCGUCUGAGCCUCGGCCAGACUUUCCCACGGGGAGCCUGUCGUCCUGGAGGCCACCUCCCUGUAGCCGCGUAACACCUGUCACCUGGAUAUUUCUGAAAUUAAUGGGGUUUUUAACACUUUUGGAUACCUGUUUAUAUCACAAAUGUAGCUUUUUGACAUCCGUGACACCUUUCACUUUAUUAUUUCAUUUUUUACAGUCUGUUUAUUUAUUUUGAGAGAGAGUGAGAGAGAGUGAGAGGGAGAGAGAUAAUCCCUGUGCUGUCAGCACAGAGCCCCCUCGGGGCUCGAUCCCAUGAACCAAGAUCACGACCUGAGCCAAUAUCAAGGGUCGGACACUUAACUGACAUAGCUACCCGGGCUCCCUGACAUCUUUCAUUUUAACGAACCCUCCCCUGUCCCCAGCCAUGAGGACAACAGGUUCUGAUUUAGCUUUUUAACAUCUCAGUCAUGUGCCAGAGUGAAGGGCUGUUGGUAAAAACCCUUUGAGCUACUAGUCUGACCAUUUUAACUAGGGAGCCACGGAAGUAUGCUGGGAGCCCACUGUAUGGGCUGGGGCUGUGUGAGAAGAAGAACCACAAAGGGAGGUCCAUGUACGUUCACCCAGAGAUUUGGCGCAAGGAGCCGGCUCACGCAGUAUGGGGGCUGACCAGACCCAGGGUGUGCAGGGAGAGUCAGCACGCUGGCGCCCCGCGAGAGUAGAUGCUGCACUGGCCCGAAGCUGGGGGGCCAGAGACCCAGCAACAGUCCACGUAUCAGUUCAAGUUUCCAGGGAGCAAAAAGCUGAUUCCCCAAUUUGAAGACAGUCAGGCAGGAGGAAUUCUCUCCUACUCAUAGGCGGGUCAGCUUUUCAUUCUAGUCAGGCCUUCAACUGAUUGGGUGUGGCCCACCCGGAGGGCCCUCUGCUUUCUCCGUCUACCGAUUCAAAUGUUGACUCAGCAGAAAACAAAAAACAAAAAACACACCCUCACAUAAGCACCUAGAAUAGUGUUUGACUAAAUGUCUGGCUCAGUCAAGGUGACACAGAAGGUUAACCGUCAGGUGUCAUACUUGUAAUUUUCCAACAUUCCUCAGAACAACUACGCUUUCGUCCUCAACCACCAGCACAGAGCAAAACUCCACCGGGUGUGCACGACACAGCGGGAGGGCCGGAGUGGCCAGGACGGGCUGGAAGCGAGAAGCCUGAUUCUCUUCAUACACGGAUGAUGCUUCAAAGGGCGGCGUAUCCUGACUUCUUCUGACGUGCAAGUCCACAGGCCAGGGGGAGCCGCCACGUAAGAGCUCUGCAGACACAACUGCUAACCUCCACGGAUCUCAGCACCACGGCCAGACCCACAAAGGAUGCGAACGUCCCAGUCUUCAUCCCUUGUCCCCGAACCUCAGAUGCCACACGUGGCAAUGAGGUCAGAGACAUGGCUGUGGCAGGACGUCCGCUUCCAGGAGAGCAUGGAGGAGAGCCCUCCACGUCACCUUUCCACAGGUCAGGGGAUUCACGACACUCCUGGCCAGGAGCCUCGACUGGAUUUGGUUUCCCGUCAGCAGGAGGAGCUUGGAUUUAGUACACGCCCAGCAGAGCAGUGGGCACCCCAUGCGUCUGUGUGACUGAGAGGAAGAUC